This 286-nucleotide unclassified non-coding RNA is filed under the name Hevea brasiliensis (rubber tree). The record is from RNAcentral. Lineage: Eukaryota; Viridiplantae; Streptophyta; Magnoliopsida; Malpighiales; Euphorbiaceae.
CCCAGUUCUUGUAAUUUAUAUUCAAAUUCAGAAUAUGGUGAAUCAGGUGGAAGCUUAGAAAUAUAUUCUUCUGCCUUAGCAAGGGCAGACUGAAGUCCGGAUAUGCUCUGUAUCCGAUCAUUCAACAUCAAGGCAUGCCCUUUAUAUUUGUGUGCUCGAAGGAAAUCAUUUAAAGGUUCCAAGCAGUCCUUGUUACGAAACAUAAUUGAAGAAAGAUGGCGAUUGAGGAAUUGAACACCAUUGCCAAUAGAUGAAGACCGGUUGGGACGAGGAACAUCAGCAUUAA